UACGUAGGCAGCAAGCGUUGUUCGGAGUUACUGGGCGUAAAGAGUGCGUAGGCUGUUUUCUAAGUUUGGUGUGAAAUCUCCUGGCUCAACUGGGAGGGUGCGCCGAAAACUGGAGAGCUUGAGUAUGGGAGAGGUAAGCGGAAUUCCUGGUGUAGCGGUGAAAUGCGUAGAUAUCAGGAGGAACACCGGUGGUGUAGACGGCUUACUGGACCAUCACUGACGCUGAGGCACGAAAGCGUGGGUAGCAAACAGG
This 253-nucleotide ribosomal RNA is filed under the name uncultured bacterium. Its description in RNAcentral is "partial 16S ribosomal RNA". It matches the Rfam family "Bacterial small subunit ribosomal RNA", at positions 524 to 776 of the family's 1533-position model. The record is from RNAcentral.